RNAcentral lists this ribosomal RNA (508 nucleotides) under uncultured bacterium. RNAcentral describes it as "partial 16S ribosomal RNA". It matches the Rfam family "Bacterial small subunit ribosomal RNA", at positions 28 to 523 of the family's 1533-position model. The record is from RNAcentral.
GACGAGCGCUGGCGGCGUGCCUAAUACAUGCAAGUCGAGCGGAUUUGUUCCUUCGGGGAUAAGUUAGCGGCGGACGGGUGAGUAACACGUAGGUAACCUGCCUAUAAGACCGGGAUAACUAUCGGAAACGAUAGCUAAGACCGGAUAUCUGGUUUUCUCGCAUGAGAGAAUCAUGAAACACGGAGCAAUCUGUGGCUUAUAGAUGGGCCUGCGGCGCAUUAGCUAGUUGGUAGGGUAACGGCCUACCAAGGCGACGAUGCGUAGCCGACCUGAGAGGGUGAACGGCCACACUGGGACUGAGACACGGCCCAGACUCCUACGGGAGGCAGCAGUAGGGAAUCUUCCGCAAUGGACGCAAGUCUGACGGAGCAACGCCGCGUGAGUGAUGAAGGUUUUCGGAUCGUAAAGCUCUGUUGCCCUAGACGAACAGCAAGAGGAGUAACUGCCUUUUGUGUGACGGUAUAGGAGAAGAAAGCCCCGGCUAACUACGUGCCAGCCGCCGCAGUAA